Molecule: microRNA, 24 nt
Filed under: Heligmosomoides polygyrus
Lineage: Eukaryota; Metazoa; Nematoda; Chromadorea; Rhabditida; Heligmosomidae
Description: hpo-miR-10126-5p
Source: miRBase by way of RNAcentral
AGAACCAUUCGCGCUGCACAUUCA